Molecule: ribosomal RNA, 773 nt
Filed under: uncultured Neocallimastigales
Lineage: Eukaryota; Fungi; Neocallimastigomycota; Neocallimastigomycetes; Neocallimastigales
Description: partial large subunit ribosomal RNA
Rfam family: Eukaryotic large subunit ribosomal RNA
Source: RNAcentral
UAUGUGAUCGUCUCUCGCAUAUCAAUAAGCGGAGGAAAAGAAACUAACAAGGAUUCCCCUAGUAACGGCGAGUGAAGCGGGAAGAGCUCAAAUUUGAAGUCUUAAAGGGUUUCCCUUUACGAAUUGUAGUUUAAAGAAGUGUUUUCUGUUGAGGUUUUGGUAAAAGUUCUUUGGAAUAGGACAUCAUAGAGGGUGAGAAUCCCGUAUUUGACCUUUACUUUCAACUUUGUGAUACACUUUCAAAGAGUCGGAUUGUUUGGGAAUGCAGUCCAAAAUGGGUGGUAAAUUUCAUCUAAAGCUAAAUAUUGGCGAGAGACCGAUAGCGAACAAGUACCGUGAGGGAAAGAUGAAAAGAACUUUGAAAAGAGAGUUAAACAGUACGUGAAAUUGUCAAAAGGGAAGCGUUUGACACCAGUGUUGUUUUUCUGAAAAUCAAUUAAAGAACUGUUUAUGCUAAGUUGUUUAGACUUUAUCAGCUAACUGUUUAGUUUUGAGCUUUUCUUUAAUGCACUUUUCAGUUAACAAGUCAACAUCAAUUUCUUUUGCUGUAAAAAAGCUUGAGGAAGGUGGCUUGAGAUUCGUCUUAAGUGUUUAUAGCCUCUUGCCUAUGCAGUCGGAGAGAUUGAGGUCUGCAGCGUAGAUCCUUCGGGGCUAAAUGCAUUUGUGCUAAGUUAUAGCAUUUUAUAGACAACUUGUUGACUAUGAUUUGUCUUGUAGCUUACUCGCUUAUGUUAUUUUACCUACGCUUAGGAUGUUGACUGAUAUGUAGUCGU